GAUGAACGCUGGCGGCGUGCCUAAUACAUGCAAGUCGAGCGAACAGACGAGGAGCUUGCUCCUCUGACGUUAGCGGCGGACGGGUGAGUAACACGUGGAUAACCUACCUAUAGGACUGGGAUAACUUCGGGAAACCGGAGCUAAUACCGGAUAAUAUAUUGAGCCGCAUGGUUCAAUAGUGAAAGACGGUUUUGCUGUCACUUAUAGAUGGAUCCGCGCCGCAUUAGCUAGUUGGUAAGGUAACGGCUUACCAAGGCAACGAUGCGUAGCCGACCUGAGAGGGUGAUCGGCCACACUGGAACUGAGACACGGUCCAGACUCCUACGGGAGGCAGCAGUAGGGAAUCUUCCGCAAAGGGCGAAAGCCUGACGGAGCAACGCCGCGUGAGUGAUGAAGGUCUUCGGAUCGUAAAACUCUGUUAUUAGGGAAGAACAAAUGUGUAAGUAACUAUGCACGUCUUGACGGUACCUAAUCAGAAAGCCACGGCUAACUACGUG
This 497-nucleotide ribosomal RNA is filed under the name uncultured bacterium. RNAcentral describes it as "partial 16S ribosomal RNA". It matches the Rfam family "Bacterial small subunit ribosomal RNA", at positions 28 to 507 of the family's 1533-position model. The record is from RNAcentral.